Molecule: ribosomal RNA, 390 nt
Filed under: Helicobacter trogontum
Lineage: Bacteria; Pseudomonadati; Campylobacterota; Epsilonproteobacteria; Campylobacterales; Helicobacteraceae
Description: bacterial SSU rRNA
Rfam family: Bacterial small subunit ribosomal RNA
Source: RNAcentral
UAUGACGGGGUAUCCGGCCUGAGAGGGUGAUCGGACACACUGGAACUGAGACACGGUCCAGACUCCUACGGGAGGCAGCAGUAGGGAAUAUUGCUCAAUGGGCGAAAGCCUGAAGCAGCAACGCCGCGUGGAGGAUGAAGGUUUUAGGAUUGUAAACUCCUUUUCUAAGAGAAGAUUAUGACGGUAUCUUAGGAAUAAGCACCGGCUAACUCCGUGCCAGCAGCCGCGGUAAUACGGAGGGUGCAAGCGUUACUCGGAAUCACUGGGCGUAAAGAGCGCGUAGGCGGGGUAAUAAGUCAGAUGUGAAAUCCUGUAGCUUAACUACAGAACUGCAUUUGAAACUGUUAUUCUAGAGUGUGGGAGAGGUAGGUGGAAUUCUUGGUGUAGGGG